Molecule: ribosomal RNA, 507 nt
Filed under: uncultured Rhodococcus sp.
Lineage: Bacteria; Bacillati; Actinomycetota; Actinomycetes; Mycobacteriales; Nocardiaceae
Description: bacterial SSU rRNA
Rfam family: Bacterial small subunit ribosomal RNA
Source: RNAcentral
UGCGCCUUGCCAGCCCGCUCAGAAACUUAAAGGAAUUGACGGGGGCCCGCACAAGCGGCGGAGCAUGUGGAUUAAUUCGAUGCAACGCGAAGAACCUUACCUGGGUUUGACAUACACCGGAAAACCGUAGAGAUACGGUCCCCCUUGUGGUCGGUGUACAGGUGGUGCAUGGCUGUCGUCAGCUCGUGUCGUGAGAUGUUGGGUUAAGUCCCGCAACGAGCGCAACCCUUGUCUUAUGUUGCCAGCACGUGAUGGUGGGGACUCGUAAGAGACUGCCGGGGUCAACUCGGAGGAAGGUGGGGACGACGUCAAGUCAUCAUGCCCCUUAUGUCCAGGGCUUCACACAUGCUACAAUGGCCAGUACAGAGGGCUGCGAGACCGUGAGGUGGAGCGAAUCCCUUAAAGCUGGUCUCAGUUCGGAUCGGGGUCUGCAACUCGACCCCGUGAAGUCGGAGUCGCUAGUAAUCGCAGAUCAGCAACGCUGCGGUGAAUACGUUCCCGGGCCUU